GUCCACGCCGUAAACGAUGGAUACUAGCUGUUCGGGAGCAAUUCUGAGUGGCUAAGCGAAAGUGAUAAGUAUCCCACCUGGGGAGUACGUUCGCAAGAAUGAAACUCAAAGGAAUUGACGGGGCCCGCACAAGCGGUGGAGCAUGUGGUUUAAUUCGAUGAUACGCGAGGAACCUUACCAGGGCUUAAAAUGUAGUCUGACAGGACCGGAAACGGUUUUCCUUCGGGCAGAUUACAAGGUGCUGCAUGGUUGUCGU
Molecule: ribosomal RNA, 256 nt
Filed under: uncultured bacterium
Lineage: Bacteria
Description: partial 16S ribosomal RNA
Rfam family: Bacterial small subunit ribosomal RNA
Source: RNAcentral